AACGAACGCUGGCGGCAUGCCUAACACAUGCAAGUCGAACGAGACCUUCGGGUCUAGUGGCGCACGGGUGCGUAACGCGUGGGAACCUUCCCUUAGGUUCGGAAUAACUCAGAGAAAUUUGAGCUAAUACCGGAUAAUGUCUUCGGACCAAAGAUUUAUCGCCUUUGGAUGGGCCCGCGUAGGAUUAGCUUGUUGGUGGGGUAAUGGCCUACCAAGGCGACGAUCCUUAGCUGGUCUGAGAGGAUGAUCAGCCACACUGGGACUGAGACACGGCCCAGACUCCUACGGGAGGCAGCAGUGGGGAAUAUUGGACAAUGGGCGAAAGCCUGAUCCAGCAAUGCCGCGUGAGUGAUGAAGGCCUUAGGGUUGUAAAGCUCUUUUAACAGGGAUGAUAAUGACAGUACCUGGAGAAUAAGCUCCGGCUAACUCCGUG
Molecule: ribosomal RNA, 433 nt
Filed under: uncultured bacterium
Lineage: Bacteria
Description: partial 16S ribosomal RNA
Rfam family: Bacterial small subunit ribosomal RNA
Source: RNAcentral